This 460-nucleotide ribosomal RNA is filed under the name uncultured bacterium. Its description in RNAcentral is "partial 16S ribosomal RNA". It matches the Rfam family "Bacterial small subunit ribosomal RNA", at positions 338 to 795 of the family's 1533-position model. The record is from RNAcentral.
CCUACGAGUGGCAGCAGUGAGGAAUAUUGGUCAAUGGGCGCGAGCCUGAACCAGCCAAGUAGCGUGAAGGAUGACUGCCCUACGGGUUGUAAACUUCUUUUAUAAAGGAAUAAAGUGAGGCACGUGUGCCUUUUUGUAUGUACUUUAUGAAUAAGGAUCGGCUAACUCCGUGCCAGCAGCCGCGGUAAUACGGAGGAUCCGAGCGUUAUCCGGAUUUAUUGGGUUUAAAGGGAGCGUAGAUGGGUUGUUAAGUCAGUUGUGAAAGUUUGCGGCUCAACCGUAAAAUUGCAAUUGAUACUGGCAGUCUUGAGUACAGUUGAGGUAGGCGGAAUGCGUGGUGUAGCGGUGAAAUGCUUAGAUAUCACGAAGAACGCCGAUUGCGAAGGCAGCUUACUAAGCUGCAACUGACACUGAUGCUCGAAAGUGUGGGUAUCAAACAGGAUUAGAUACCCCAGUAGUC